AUCGGGAGAGCCUUGGGUUGGAAGCAAACCCUCUUAUCCUUCAUACGAAGGAAUCCAAACUCACAGCUCUCUUUCUCUGUAUAAAAGGGCGGAUCAUCUUCUUCUUCCUCACCCACUCACUCUCAUCUUUGCCUCUCUUCUUCCCACCAUCUCCAUCUUACAUACAAAAGAAGGAAGAUGUACGCACCGCCGGGCGCCCAGGACAUGUCGUACUUGGACCACGUCCAGCGGCGCCACGAGGAGAAAGGAUGCCUCUAUGCCUGUUUGUUCGCGUUAUGUUGCUGCUUCUGCUGCUACGAGACCUGCGAGUGCUGCUUGGACUGCCUCUGCUGUUGCUGCAACUAAACCAUGUCAGGAGACAAGUUUGCAGUAUGUAGCUUGCUCUCUGUCUAUCAAUAAAGCAUGUAGCCAUAACAUGUCGCGUUCUCUGCUUCGUGGCCUUGGCUAUGUGCGACUAUCGAAUUGUUACUUUUGUACCGUUCUAUAAUCCAAGACUUUUCCUACUUCCAGUAGCGACCAAGAAUUUAGUGUGGUAUCAAAGCAGAGACAUCUGUAUUUAAA
Musa acuminata subsp. malaccensis (wild Malaysian banana) is the source of this 561-nucleotide non-coding RNA. NCBI's taxonomy places the organism in Eukaryota, Viridiplantae, Streptophyta, Magnoliopsida, Zingiberales, Musaceae. The record is from RefSeq and is a predicted model, not a curated record.